CUGAUGAAUGAUAAAUGAAUAUUAACUUUGUAUCAGCCUUUUAAUUACACUAAAUAAACAGUUAAAACGAGUCAGUUCACGAAAACGUACAUAUAUUUUUAAAACGACAACAAGUGAAAAUGAGAAGCUGUAAACUAUAUUUAUCGACCAUUCUUUUUACUUACUGUACAUUUUUUAAAUGUAGAGGAUUAGCCUUUAUUUUACAAAAUGUAAGAGAAUCCCAGAGUAUUUAUAUAACUGUUCAUCUAGCUAACAUCCUGUCUCGAGAUCAAAAGUUCUUUAACUCAAUAAUCAUGAAUAAUUUACCAAACAAACUACCGGAAGAAGGCAGCAGCUCGAAUACAUCACCAAACAAACUACCUGAUGAGGGCAACAUAACGAAUAAACCACCAAGCAAACUACCAGACGAAGGCAACGGCACAAAUAUAUCAUCAAACCAACUACCUGAUGAGGGUGACAACAUUUGCAGCAACAAAACAAAACGCAAGAAUAGACUAUCAAUCAAUGGUGCAAUAGACUCUUUAUCAGUAAUGUUGAAUUCGCAACAAAAUAAAAAUGAACAUGACAAAACAGAAAACGAUCAAAGGAAGAUGAAAGAGCUGGGAAAAUAAAGUACAGUAUCAAUCUACAUGUUGAAAGUCGUCUAUCGGUUUCAGAACCUGAACAUUAUUAAAAAUAAUGAUAUGA
Long non-coding RNA from Mytilus californianus (California mussel), 687 nucleotides. RefSeq lists it as uncharacterized. The transcript is spliced from 2 exons. Lineage: Eukaryota; Metazoa; Mollusca; Bivalvia; Mytilida; Mytilidae. The record is from RefSeq and is a predicted model, not a curated record.